This 32-nucleotide small RNA is filed under the name Bombyx mori (domestic silkworm). RNAcentral's name for it is "ovarian small RNA-15103". Lineage: Eukaryota; Metazoa; Arthropoda; Insecta; Lepidoptera; Bombycidae. The record is from RNAcentral.
GAAAUGCGGAAGCAACCGAAGGCAGGACCUUC